This 464-nucleotide ribosomal RNA is filed under the name Vreelandella stevensii. Its description in RNAcentral is "partial 16S ribosomal RNA". It matches the Rfam family "Bacterial small subunit ribosomal RNA", at positions 338 to 795 of the family's 1533-position model. The record is from RNAcentral. Lineage: Bacteria; Pseudomonadati; Pseudomonadota; Gammaproteobacteria; Oceanospirillales; Halomonadaceae.
CCUACGGGCGGCAGCAGUGGGGAAUAUUGGACAAUGGGGGGAACCCUGAUCCAGCCAUGCCGCGUGUGUGAAGAAGGCCCUCGGGUUGUAAAGCACUUUCAGUGAGGAAGAACGCCUGGUGGUUAAUACCCAUCAGGAAAGACAUCACUCACAGAAGAAGCACCGGCUAACUCCGUGCCAGCAGCCGCGGUAAUACGGAGGGUGCGAGCGUUAAUCGGAAUUACUGGGCGUAAAGCGCGCGUAGGUGGCUUGAUAAGCCGGUUGUGAAAGCCCCGGGCUCAACCUGGGAACGGCAUCCGGAACUGUCAAGCUAGAGUGCAGGAGAGGAAGUUAGAAUUCCCGGUGUAGCGGGGAAAUGCGUAGUGCUCGGGAGGAAUACCAGUGGCGAAGGCGGCCUUCUGGACUGACACUGACACUGAGGUGCGAAAGCGUGGGUAGCAACAGGAUUAGAUACCCGUGUAGUC